UACCAAAUGUCCACGGAAACAUUCGGUUUGCUGGACGUUUGCUGCUGAACUGUCAAAUCCCUGUCAGUGUCUCUUCCUCAUGGAGCGAGUGUUCUUUUUUCACUUCUGGGCUCCCUGUGUUGCUGCAGUGACUUAGAACAACUUGGGUUGAUAUUGAAGAACCUGGAUGAGAAAAGGUGGGGUCUUUGGCAUGCUGGAAAUAAACAGGAAUCAUCAACAACCUCUCCUGAAAAUGGCAAAAAACGUUCUCAGAACACAUUAAUUCCAAUCAUCCGGAGACAUAUUAGAAGAGGGUCAUCGGUCCUUAGUGAUAAGUGACGUGCUUAUGUCAGGGCUAUUAGCUUACGGGGGUACAGACAUUAUUCUGUCAAUCACAAGGAAAACUUUGUUGAUCCACAGACAGGAAGUCACACUCAACAUAAUGACCGAGCGUGGCAAACAAUUAAUACACAAGUGUGAAGGUUAAGAGUUAAUGGUACUACAAAUCUGUUAAAGGAACACCUUGCAUUCACGGAAUGGACUUGCUGGUUAGGAAAGAAAAACCAGACAGGGAUUCUUUCGCAGCUUUUAUAUGACAUUCAGUCAGUUUAUAGUGCAUUAAGAAAAAAUGUUCAUUAAAGUCAAUCUGACAAUAAUUAUUGUGUUAUCCAUGCAUGCAUUUUAGGGUUGAGGGUAAACAUUCCUAUACUGUGUUAUAAAAUAUGGAGUAUGGCCCAACCUUUGCUGAACAUAUGGAAGUUUGUAUUUAUAUAUCUUCAUUAUGUAUAAUAUAAAAUAUUGAAAAAUGUAAGCCAAUAUGUAGUAUUUAUAAGCAUUUUUGCAUUAAAACCUGAAAACUUUUACAUUUAAUUUCUGUCAUUGUUAAUUUUAAAUUAAUUAUGUAGAUAUAAUAGUGUCUCAAUGUGGUAGUAUAAGUAACUUAUUUAUUUUUAAUGAAAUUUAAUGUGAUUGCAGUUCUGUAUUUAGGUAACAAUAAAAAUAUUUUUUAAAACAA
Erpetoichthys calabaricus (reedfish) is the source of this 994-nucleotide long non-coding RNA. RefSeq lists it as uncharacterized. Lineage: Eukaryota; Metazoa; Chordata; Cladistia; Polypteriformes; Polypteridae. The transcript is spliced from 2 exons. The record is from RefSeq and is a predicted model, not a curated record.